UACGUAGGGGGCAAGCGUUAUCCGGAUUUACUGGGUGUAAAGGGAGCGUAGGUGGUUUGCCAAGUCUGAUGUGAAAGCCCGGGGCUUAACCCCGGGAUUGCAUUGGAAACUGGUAAACUAGAGUGUUGGAGAGGCAAGUGGAAUUCCUAGUGUAGCGGUGAAAUGCGUAGAUAUUAGGAGGAACACCAGUGGCGAAGGCGGCUUGCUGGACAAUCACUGACACUGAGGCUCGAAAGCGUGGGGAGCAAACAGG
Molecule: ribosomal RNA, 253 nt
Filed under: uncultured bacterium
Lineage: Bacteria
Description: partial 16S ribosomal RNA
Rfam family: Bacterial small subunit ribosomal RNA
Source: RNAcentral